CCUCGACGGUCGCCUUGGACUGGGCGACCUCGGCGUUCAGGACGCUGAACGGCUGGCCGCCGUCGACGCCGUUCAACUGGGCCGUCAGGGU
RNAcentral lists this transfer RNA (91 nucleotides) under Streptomyces chartreusis. RNAcentral describes it as "tRNA-Leu". Lineage: Bacteria; Bacillati; Actinomycetota; Actinomycetes; Kitasatosporales; Streptomycetaceae. The record is from RNAcentral.